GCCUUCGUGGUACAGUGGUCAGCACACUGGACGCGUAACCGAGAGGUCCGUGGUUCGAUUCCCGGCGAAGGCG
Molecule: transfer RNA, 73 nt
Filed under: Stegodyphus mimosarum
Lineage: Eukaryota; Metazoa; Arthropoda; Arachnida; Araneae; Eresidae
Rfam family: tRNA
About the family: Transfer RNA (tRNA) molecules are approximately 80 nucleotides in length. Their secondary structure includes four short double-helical elements and three loops (D, anti-codon, and T loops).
Source: Rfam by way of RNAcentral